This 278-nucleotide ribosomal RNA is filed under the name uncultured Staphylococcus sp. RNAcentral's name for it is "partial 16S ribosomal RNA". It matches the Rfam family "Bacterial small subunit ribosomal RNA", at positions 83 to 354 of the family's 1533-position model. The record is from RNAcentral. Lineage: Bacteria; Bacillati; Bacillota; Bacilli; Caryophanales; Staphylococcaceae.
CCUUUGACGUUAGCGGCGGACGGGUGAGUAACACGUGGGUAACCUACCUAUAAGACUGGGAUAACUUCGGGAAACCGGAGCUAAUACCGGAUAAUAUUUCGAACCGCAUGGUCCGAUAGUGAAAGAUGGUUUUGCUAUCACUUAUAGAUGGACCCGCGCCGUAUUAGCUAGUUGGUAAGGUAACGGCUUACCAAGGCGACGAUACGUAGCCGACCUGAGAGGGUGAUCGGCCACACUGGAACUGAGACACGGUCCAGACUCCUACGGGGGCAGCAGGG